RNAcentral lists this ribosomal RNA (497 nucleotides) under uncultured bacterium. RNAcentral describes it as "partial 16S ribosomal RNA". It matches the Rfam family "Bacterial small subunit ribosomal RNA", at positions 28 to 507 of the family's 1533-position model. The record is from RNAcentral.
GAUGAACGCUGGCGGCGUGCCUAAUACAUGCAAGUCGAGCGAACAGACGAGGAGCUUGCUCCUCUGACGUUAGCGGCGGACGGGUGAGUAACACGUGGAUAACCUACCUAUAAGACUGGGAUAACUUCGGGAAACCGGAGCUAAUACCGGAUAAUAUAUUGAACCGCAUGGUUCAAUAGUGAAAGACGGUUUUGCUGUCACUUAUAGAUGGAUCCGCGCCGCAGUAGCUAGUUGGUAAGGUAACGGCUUACCAGGGCGACGGUGCGUAGCCGACCUGAGAGGGGGAUCGGCCACACUGGGACUGAGCCACGGUCCAGACUCCUACGGGAGGCAGCAGUAGGGAAUGUUCCGCAAUGGGCGGAAGCCUGACGGAGCAACGCCGCGUGAGUGAUGAAGGUCUUCGGAUCGUAAAACUCUGUUAUUAGGGAAGAACAAAUGUGUAAGUAACUAUGCACGUCUUGACGGUACCUAAUCAGAAAGCCACGGCUAACUACGUG